UGGCACUAUCUGGACUGAAUUGUGAUCGAACUCAACCAACCUGUGUAAGUCUCAAUUUUGUUUCGGUGUCUCAGUCUUUUCCUUACAUUG
This is a long non-coding RNA of Syngnathus acus (greater pipefish), 90 nucleotides long. RefSeq lists it as uncharacterized. The record is from RefSeq and is a predicted model, not a curated record. NCBI's taxonomy places the organism in Eukaryota, Metazoa, Chordata, Actinopteri, Syngnathiformes, Syngnathidae. The transcript is spliced from 3 exons.